GACGAGCCACCCGAACGUUAUUCGGAAUUACUGGGCUUAAAGGGUGCGUAGGCGGUGUAGCAAGUCGGGAGUGAAAUACCCCAGCUUAACUGAGGAAUUGCUUUCGAUACUGCUGCGCUUGAGUGAGACAGAGGUAAGCGGAACUUAGGGUGGAGCGGUGAAAUGCGUUGAUAUCCUAAGGAACACCGGUGGCGAAGGCGGCUUACUGGGUCUCAACUGACGCUGAGGCACGAAAGCGUGGGGAGCGAACAGG
This 253-nucleotide ribosomal RNA is filed under the name uncultured bacterium. Its description in RNAcentral is "partial 16S ribosomal RNA". It matches the Rfam family "Bacterial small subunit ribosomal RNA", at positions 524 to 776 of the family's 1533-position model. The record is from RNAcentral.